Ruditapes philippinarum (Manila clam) is the source of this 1635-nucleotide long non-coding RNA. RefSeq lists it as uncharacterized. The record is from RefSeq and is a predicted model, not a curated record. Lineage: Eukaryota; Metazoa; Mollusca; Bivalvia; Venerida; Veneridae. The transcript has 4 exons.
AAUAGUUCUUUGAAAUUUUGAAGUGCCCUAUUUCAAGUCAUUUUUAAUGUGACUGGUUACAUUUUAAGUGUAUUUAUUGUAACAGUGUACAUUUAGUGUCAUUUCUGAUGACUUUAAAAGUUGUUUUUUGUGUAUUCUGCAGGAUCUCAUUUCUUGGUGGAAGGAUUCGAGAAGUACUACACGCCAGCAUACAUGACAUUUGAAACUUUGAUAAUUUGACAGUGACUUAACAAAUUAAGAAAUAUUGUGAAAUCUAGAUGGCUAACAUAGGACAUUUCGGGCUUCGACUAACUUGUCUAGUGUUGAUGUUUAAAGUUAUGAAAUACAGAAUUCUGCUGAGUGUAAUAGAAGUCCAUAAUGAAGCUUUAAAUGUGACAGAUUUACUAUAGAUUAAAGAAGGGCGAAAAUGGACAAGGCCGUGUCCUAAAUAAGAAAUAUGAAAAAUGGGAACUGGUUGAUGGAUAUGGAUGAAACUUUGCAUCAGUGUUGUGUUUAUGAAUAGAAAUCAGGAAAAUAAAGGAUAACUGACAGACCAUGCAGUUACCAAAAGCCGGGGUGACCUUACCUUAUAUACUGGUUAAGAUCUAUGGAAGAACUCCUUCAGCUCAGUUUGGCAGCAGAUUUGUCAGGACAAGAUGAGAAGGAUCUCAUUUCUUGGUGGAAGGAUUCGAGAAGUACUACACGCCAGCAUACAUGACAUUUGAAACUUUGAUAAUUUGACAGUGACUUAACAAAUUAAGAAAUAUUGUGAAAUCUAGAUGGCUAACAUAGGACAUUUCGGGCUUCGACUAACUUGUCUAGUGUUGAUGUUUAAAGUUAUGAAAUACAGAAUUCUGCUGAGUGUAAUAGAAGUCCAUAAUGAAGCUUUAAAUGUGACAGAUUUACUAUAGAUUAAAGAAGGGCGAAAAUGGACAAGGCCGUGUCCUAAAUAAGAAAUAUGAAAAAUGGGAACUGGUUGAUGGAUAUGGAUGAAACUUUGCAUCAGUGUUGUGUUUAUGAAUAGAAAUCAGGAAAAUAAAGGAUAACUGACAGACCAUGCAGUUACCAAAGCCGGGGUGACCUUACCUUAUAUACUGGUUAAGAUCUAUGGAAGAACUCCUUCAGCUCAGUUUGGCAGCAGAUUUGUCAGGACAAGAUGAGAAGGUAAUAACUUAUGUCCAGUUUGAAACUUCAGCUAUUGACGGCAACAAUUCCCAAUGCUCGGACAAUAUUUGGUAGAUAUUUUGAUGUAUAUCCAGAGAAAAUUUCUCUAAUUUUGACUAUUUUAAGACUUUUCAAUGAUUUAAAGUGGGAGACAGUAUGUGCAAUCAUUUUUUAGCCUUAUUUGGGUGAGAGUUGGUUAAUCUUACUUUGUCAGAAGACAUAGCCCAUAGGGAUAUGGUAACCUCUUUGCUAAACUUAAGAUUACCUCUGUAAAACUUUGUCUUUAUUGAUAUCUUAAGCAAACAAUUUGUAGGGUAUAUAUCUUGGUACUUUACUUUAUUUACCAUGCUAUAUAGGUAAAAAUCAUAAUCAGUAAGUUUUAUUGCAAAAUUGAAAGAAAAAGUUAUGAAAAAAGUACAUUUAAUUGUGAUUACUUGUAUUUUAACCCAAAAUUUCAUGCCCUCAUUAAAAUAAAUGGAGUUAUUAUUACAA